CGAGCGAAGUUUGUGGGAGUCGCUCCGAGAAGUGAGCGGCGGACGGGUGAGCAACACGGGGGCAACCUGCCUAGGAGACUGGGAUAACUUCGGGAAACCGGAGCUAAUACCGGAUAACAUAUGAGACCACAUGGUCUCAUAUUAAAAGAUGGCUUUUAGCUAUCACUUAUAGAUGGGCCCGCGGCGCAUUAGCUAGUUGGUGAGGUAAUGGCUCACCAAGGCGACGAUGCGUAGCCGACCUGAGAGGGUGAUCGGCCACACUGGGACUGAGACACGGCCCAGACUCCUACGGGAGGCAGCAGUAGGGAAUCUUCCGCAAUGGACGAAAGUCUGACGGAGCAACGCCGCGUGAGCGAAGAAGGUCUUCGGAUCGUAAAGCUCUGUUGUUAGGGAAGAACAAGUACCGUUCAAAUAGGGCGGUACCUUGACGGUACCUAACCAGAAAGCCACGGCUAACUACGUGCCAGCAGCCGCGGUAAUACGUAGGUGGCAAGCGUUAUCCGGAAUUAUUGGGCGUAAAGCGCGCGCAGGCGGUCCUUUAAGUCUGAUGUGAAAGCCCACGGCUCAACCGUGGAGGGUCAUUGGAAACUGGGGGACUUGAGUGCAGAAGAGGAGAGCGGAAUUCCACGUGUAGCGGUGAAAUGCGUAGAGAUGUGGAGGAACACCAGUGGCGAAGGCGGCUCUCUGGUCUGUAACUGACGCUGAGGCGCGAAAGCGUGGGGAGCGAACAGGAUUAGAUACCCUGGUAGUCCACGCCGUAAACGAUGAGUGCUAAUUGUUAGAGGGUUUCCGCCCUUUAAUGCUGCAGCAAACGCAUUAAGCACUCCGCCUGGGGAGUACGGUCGCAAGACUGAAACUCAAAGGAAUUGACGGGGGCCCGCACAACCGGUGGAACCAUGUGGUUUAAUUCGAAACAACGCGAAAAACCUUACCAGGUCUUGACAUCCCUUGACAACUCUAAAAAAUAAAACUUUCCCCUUCCGGGGACACGUUGACAAGUGGUUUCCAUGGUUGUCCUCCACCUCCUUUUCCUGAAAAUUUUUUGGUUUAAUUCCCCCAACCAAACCCAACCCUUUAUUCUUAUUUUCCCACCAUUCAAUUUUGGCACCUCUAAAAUUAACUUUCCGCUUACAAACCCCAAAAAAAAAUUGGGGAAUUAAGAUCCAAAUCAUCCUUUCCCCCUUAUGGACCCCGGGCUACACACCCUGUCUCACAAUGGAUUGUUACAAAGAGGC
This 1235-nucleotide ribosomal RNA is filed under the name Bacillus timonensis. RNAcentral describes it as "bacterial SSU rRNA". It matches the Rfam family "Bacterial small subunit ribosomal RNA", at positions 63 to 1248 of the family's 1533-position model. The record is from RNAcentral. Lineage: Bacteria; Bacillati; Bacillota; Bacilli; Caryophanales; Bacillaceae.